This is a non-coding RNA of Paramuricea clavata, 263 nucleotides long. Lineage: Eukaryota; Metazoa; Cnidaria; Anthozoa; Malacalcyonacea; Plexauridae. The record is from the annotation of a GenBank genome assembly.
UGCUUUUUGCCGAUCGCGAUAACUUGAGCUAACUUAUUACUCACAAUUUGAAAUGAAGUAAAUUUAAUUCGUACAGAACGCUAAUGAAAAUAAUUUGCUUUCCUUUUUAUGAUGAACUUCUACAAAAGUUAACUUAACUAUGAAACUUUCGCAUACAAUCCAUAGGAAAGACUUGAACAACAAGAACAAAGUCUUUAACAUUAUAAAUACAAAGUCAAACAUAAACAAUUGAAACACACUUGCCCAAUAGGCUAUACUUUAGG